GGACGAACGCUGGCGGCGUGCUUAACACAUGCAAGUCGAACGGGACUGAUUGAAAGCUUGCUUUGAAAAGUCUAGUGGCAAACGGGUGAGUAACGCGUAGGCAACCUGCCUCUAAGAUGGGGACAACAGUCCGAAAGGACUGCUAAUACCGAAUGUUGUGAGUUUUCCGCAUGGAGAGCUCAUUAAAGAUGGCCUCUACUUGUAAAGCUAUCACUUAGAGAUGGGCCUGCGUCUGAUUAGCUAGUUGGUGGGGUAACGGCCCACCAAGGCGACGAUCAGCAGCCGGUCUGAGAGGAUGAACGGCCACAUUGGGACUGAGACACGGCCCAGACUCCUACGGGAGGCAGCAGUGGGGAAUCUUCCGCAAUGGGCGAAAGCCUGACGGAGCAACGCCGCGUGAGUGAAGAAGGUCUUCGGAUCGUAAAGCUCUGUCGAAGGGGACGAACGUGGGUUCUAUCAACAACGGAACCUAAUGACGGUACCUUUCAAGAAAGCCACGGCUAACUACGUGCCAGCCGCCGC
RNAcentral lists this ribosomal RNA (522 nucleotides) under uncultured bacterium. RNAcentral's name for it is "bacterial SSU rRNA". It matches the Rfam family "Bacterial small subunit ribosomal RNA", at positions 27 to 518 of the family's 1533-position model. The record is from RNAcentral.